Molecule: ribosomal RNA, 1343 nt
Filed under: uncultured bacterium
Lineage: Bacteria
Description: 16S ribosomal RNA
Rfam family: Bacterial small subunit ribosomal RNA
Source: RNAcentral
GACGAACGCUGGCGGCGUGCUUAACACAUGCAAGUCGAACGGAAAGGCCCUGCUUUUGUGGGGUGCUCGAGUGGCGAACGGGUGAGUAGCACGUGAGUAACCUGCCCUUGACUUUGGGAUAACUUCAGGAAACUGGGGCUAAUACCGGAUAGGAGCUCCUGCUGCAUGGUGGGGGUUGGAAAGUUUCGGCGGUUGGGGAUGGACUCGCGGCUUAUCAGCUUGUUGGUGGGGUAGUGGCUUACCAAGGCUUUGACGGGUAGCCGGCCUGAGAGGGUGACCGGCCACAUUGGGACUGAGAUACGGCCCAGACUCCUACGGGAGGCAGCAGUGGGGAAUAUUGCACAAUGGGCGGAAGCCUGAUGCAGCAACGCCGCGUGCGGGAUGACGGCCUUCGGGUUGUAAACCGCUUUCGCCUGUGACGAAGCGUGAGUGACGGUAAUGGGUAAAGAAGCACCGGCUAACUACGUGCCAGCAGCCGCGGUGAUACGUAGGGUGCGAGCGUUGUCCGGAUUUAUUGGGCGUAAAGGGCUCGUAGGUGGUUGAUCGCGUCGGAAGUGUAAUCUUGGGGCUUAACCCUGAGCGUGCUUUCGAUACGGGUUGACUUGAGGAAGGUAGGGGAGAAUGGAAUUCCUGGUGGAGCGGUGGAAUGCGCAGAUAUCAGGAGGAACACCAGUGGCGAAGGCGGUUCUCUGGGCCUUUCCUGACGCUGAGGAGCGAAAGCGUGGGGAGCGAACAGGCUUAGAUACCCUGGUAGUCCACGCUGUAAACGGUGGGUACUAGGUGUGGGGUCCAUUCCACGGGUUCCGUGCCGUAGCUAACGCUUUAAGUACCCCGCCUGGGGAGUACGGCCGCAAGGCUAAAACUCAAAGGAAUUGACGGGGCCCCGCACAAGCGGCGGAGCAUGCGGAUUAAUUCGAUGCAACGCGUAGAACCUUACCUGGGUUUGACAUGGAUCGGGAGCGCUCAGAGAUGGGUGUGCCUCUUUUGGGGUCGGUUCACAGGUGGUGCAUGGCUGUCGUCAGCUCGUGUCGUGAGAUGUUGGGUUAAGUCCCGCAACGAGCGCAACCCUUGUUCACUGUUGCCAGCACGUUAUGGUGGGGACUCAGUGGAGACCGCCGGGGUCAACUCGGAGGAAGGUGGGGAUGACGUCAAGUCAUCAUGCCCCUUAUGUCCAGGGCUUCACGCAUGCUACAAUGGCUGGUACAGAGAGUGGCGAGCCUGUGAGGGUGAGCGAAUCCCGGAAAGCCGGUCUCAGUUCGGAUUGGGGUCUGCAACUCGACCUCAUGAAGUCGGAGUCGCUAGUAAUCGCAGAUCAGCAACGCUGCGGUGAAUACGUUCCCGGG